UCCUACGGGGGGCAGCAGUGAGGAAUAUUGGUCAAUGGGCGCGAGCCUGAACCAGCCAAGUCGCGUGAGGGAAGACGGUCCUAUGGAUUGUAAACCUCUUUUGUCGGGGAGCAAAAGACGCCACGCGUGGCGUUCCGAGAGUACCCGAAGAAAAAGCAUCGGCUAACUCCGUGCCAGCAGCCGCGGUAAUACGGAGGAUCCGAGCGUUAUCCGGAUUUAUUGGGUUUAAAGGGAGCGUAGGUGGAUUGUUAAGUCAGUUGUGAAAGUUUGCGGCUCAACCGUAAAAUUGCAGUUGAAACUGGCAG
This 305-nucleotide ribosomal RNA is filed under the name uncultured bacterium. RNAcentral's name for it is "bacterial SSU rRNA". It matches the Rfam family "Bacterial small subunit ribosomal RNA", at positions 337 to 639 of the family's 1533-position model. The record is from RNAcentral.